Molecule: transfer RNA, 74 nt
Filed under: Serendipita vermifera MAFF 305830
Lineage: Eukaryota; Fungi; Basidiomycota; Agaricomycetes; Sebacinales; Serendipitaceae
Rfam family: tRNA
About the family: Transfer RNA (tRNA) molecules are approximately 80 nucleotides in length.
Source: Rfam by way of RNAcentral
GAGUUAAGUUUACAGAAGGUUCUGUAGCCAAAUUGCAAAUUUGGUAAACUAAGGUUCGAUCCCUUCUUAGCUCU